This 492-nucleotide ribosomal RNA is filed under the name uncultured bacterium. RNAcentral's name for it is "partial 16S ribosomal RNA". It matches the Rfam family "Bacterial small subunit ribosomal RNA", at positions 29 to 507 of the family's 1533-position model. The record is from RNAcentral.
AGUGAACGCUGGCGGUAGGCCUAACACAUGCAAGUCGAGCGGCAGCACAGUAAGAGCGUGCGCUUACGGGUGGCGGGUGGCGGACGGGUGAGGAAUACAUCGGAAUCUACUUUUUCGUGGGGGAUAACGUAGGGAAACUUACGCUAAUACCGCAUACGACCUACGGGUGAAAGCAGGGGAUCUUCGGACCUGGCGCGAUCGAAUGAGCCGAUGUCGGAUUAGCUAGUUGGCGGGGUAAAGGCACACCAAGGCGACGAGCCGUAGUGGGUCUGAGAGGAUGAUCAGACCCACUAGAACGGUGACACGGUCCAGACUCCUACGGGACGCAGCAGUGCGGAAUAUUAGACUAUGGGCGCAAGCCUGAUCCAGCCCUACCGCGUGGGUGACGAAGGCCUUCGGGUUGUAAAGGUAUUCUGUUGGGAAAGAAAAGCAGCCGGUUAAUACCCCGCUGUUCUGACGGUACCAAACGAAUAAGCACCGGCUAACUUCGUG